GACAGAGGAUGCAAACGUUGCUCGGAUUUACUGGGCGUAAAGCGCGCGCAGGCGGUUCUGUAAGUCGGACGUGAAAGCCCGGGGCUCAACCUCGGAAGUGCGUCUGAUACUGCAGGACUGGAGUACUGGAGAGGAGAGCGGAAUUCCCGGUGUAGAGGUGAAAUUCGUAGAUAUCGGGAGGAACACCAGUGGCGAAGGCGGCUCUCUGGACAGAUACUGACGCUGAGGCGCGAAAGCGUGGGAAGCAAACAGG
This 253-nucleotide ribosomal RNA is filed under the name uncultured bacterium. RNAcentral's name for it is "partial 16S ribosomal RNA". It matches the Rfam family "Bacterial small subunit ribosomal RNA", at positions 524 to 776 of the family's 1533-position model. The record is from RNAcentral.